RNAcentral lists this long non-coding RNA (1911 nucleotides) under Linum usitatissimum (flax). RNAcentral describes it as "long non-coding RNA (LUSI_LNC005574)". Lineage: Eukaryota; Viridiplantae; Streptophyta; Magnoliopsida; Malpighiales; Linaceae. The record is from RNAcentral.
GGCGACCCUAUAGUCCGGUGGGCUUGAAGAUGGGUUGGAUUUGACACCCGUUUGCGCCCGAGCCGGGACGGAAAAUCCCAGUGUAUUGGACUGGCGGGGAUCGGUGGCAAAAAUUCGGACCCGCCCGCGCCGUUACCAAGCCUAUUCCCGCGAUAGCCUUCAUUGUUUCUCGCCAGAUGCCAAAGAGUUGAAAAGAAUAUCGUGAACGCACACAGCGAUUGCGAAUCUCCUUCGAAUUCGCACAGAGAUUCUCCACCAAAAUUAGGUCAAGAUGGUUUGAAUCGAGGCGAUCUUACCUCCGUGACUGCCUUCCAUCCGUCCUCCCGAUUGGUUUUUCACCAAAAUUAGGUCAUGAUCGACAACCCUUUCCUCCUUGCUGCCGUCCAUCUGUCCUCCGAUCGACAACUCUUUCCUCCUUGCUUUCUAGUUCACGCGAGUCACGACUGACAGUGAUUUUCUUCACACGUGUCUCUUUGACUGGCGGCCAUAGUCCGCUACUUAUCCAACUCAACAUCUCGUGCGAUUGCUUCCUACUCUCGACUUAGAUUCCCCUAAAAUGCCGAUGAACAUGUAAGUGGUUGAUUGUCCCUCUCAUAGUUGAUGUCUUUAGACUCCAUUACUGUGAUUAUGGUCGGCUAGGUGAUUGGAAUUGACUAGGGGCUAGUACUCAUGUCAGGUUAGAAAUGUUAGGAAUGUUUAAGGAAGGAGAAUGAUCUCAGUUGCUUGACUGGAUUUCUGUUUAUCCUCGUGUGUACUGGAUAUAUGUCAUAUGUUCGCUUCUGCCUAUACUACCGGUGCUUUUGUAUCACUUUUCCAUGGUUAAAAUAAAAAGAAUGCGUCCAAGAAACAACACAUAUAUAAGUUUGAUUAAUUUAAUUGGAUGCUCAAUUGUAUUCUUGGGUAGAUAGGAUAUGUUUUGGGGUCUGUGUUUUGACAGCAUGAACAAAUCUUUGAAAUUACUACAUGUCCACAUUGUGAAUAAGAUUUAUACCACAUCAGUAGUAAGGAGGGAAGAAGUUUCAACCAUAGCAAAUACGAAGUUUCAACCAUAACUCUCAAAAUCCUAAAUUGCUCUGCUCACCUAACUGCAUAUACGAUUUGUACAUUAUAAUCUAUUUGAUUACUGGAGGUUACUCUUCUCAUGUACUUAAUAACGGUGUUAUUACUCCACUGUUUUUUUUCUUUUGCAGAGAAAUGAACUGCUAAUAUAGCUUGAAGAGUUCUAUCUCGACUAGUUCUAUAUUGGGCUGCUCAUGUUGAAAUCGAGUAAUCAUGUUCCAGCUUUGGAUUUAUGGAAGGAAACUCGAUGCUUUCCAUAUCUCAACUAUCAACUGCAGAUUGAAGAAAGAUUUCAAUGUAGAAUAGUAAAUUUGUAAUCACAACAUAGUCUGAUUAGAGUACUUAAGUUAGAAUUCAAACAUGUGUUUUCUUUCUCUACUCACUUUAGUAUUCAAAUUACAGAGGCAUAAUAUAAAGUUAUGAUGUAGGUUUUUUUAGUCAGUUAUGAGGUAUCUUAAGAAUUUUAUUACGGUAUUUGAUAGUAGUAAUAUUUAUGUGUAUUUUAUUGCGUGUUAUAAUAAUAAUUUGAAUGUUCUAUGAAUUCGUAUUGGUUGUAUCUAAAGAUCUGGGAAAUUAAUAGAUGUAAUUGGAAGCUCGUUCUUACCACCUAUAGAAGGGAGUUCUCAUGACAAGCAUCAGACACGAAUUCACAGAGAGCAAUACACAUACAUAAUGUUUGAGAGAAGAAAGGAAAUGUAGGGAAGCAGAGAAGUCGAUUGUGGGAAGAAGGGUCUGAGCUUUUCCCAUUUCCAUUGUGUGAAUUCUUUGUUAUUGGUUCAUAUUAAAUCAUAUAUGUGGUGUUUGUUGUGUUGUAAUAGCAAGACGUGAAGUUCGAAUUAAUUAUAAAUGUCG